AUUGAACGCUGGCGGCAUGCCUUACACAUGCAAGUCGAACGGCAGCACGGGAGCUUGCUCCUGGUGGCGAGUGGCGAACGGGUGAGUAAUACAUCGGAACGUACCCAGUAGUGGGGGAUAACGCACCGAAAGGUGCGCUAAUACCGCAUACGACCUAAGGGUGAAAGCGGGGGACCGUAAGGCCUCGCGCUAUUGGAGCGGCCGAUGUCUGAUUAGCUAGUUGGCGGGGUAAAGGCCCACCAAGGCGACGAUCAGCAGCUGGUCUGAGAGGACGAUCAGCCACACUGGGACUGAGACACGGCCCAGACUCCUACGGGAGGCAGCAGUGGGGAAUUUUGGACAAUGGGGGCAACCCUGAUCCAGCAAUGCCGCGUGUGCGAAGAAGGCCUUCGGGUUGUAAAGCACUUUUGUCAGGGAAGAAAUCUUUUGGGCUAAUACCCCGGAAGGAUGACGGUACCUGAAGAAUAAGCACCGGCUAACUACGUGCCAGCAGCCGCGGUAA
This 502-nucleotide ribosomal RNA is filed under the name uncultured bacterium. Its description in RNAcentral is "partial 16S ribosomal RNA". It matches the Rfam family "Bacterial small subunit ribosomal RNA", at positions 29 to 523 of the family's 1533-position model. The record is from RNAcentral.